Molecule: ribosomal RNA, 497 nt
Filed under: uncultured bacterium
Lineage: Bacteria
Description: partial 16S ribosomal RNA
Rfam family: Bacterial small subunit ribosomal RNA
Source: RNAcentral
GAUGAACGCUGGCGGCGUGCCUAAUACAUGCAAGUAGAACGCUGAAGCUUGGUGCUUGCACCGAGCGGAUGAGUUGCGAACGGGUGAGUAACGCGUAGGUAACCUGCCUCUUAGCGGGGGAUAACUAUUGGAAACGAUAGCUAAUACCGCAUAAAAGUCGAUAUCGCAUGAUAUUGAUUUGAAAGGUGCAAAUGCAUCACUAAGAGAUGGACCUGCGUUGUAUUAGCUAGUUGGUGAGGUAACGGCUCACCAAGGCGACGGUACAUAGCCGACCUGAGAGGGUGAUCGGCCAAACUGGGACUGAGACACGGCCCAGACUCCUACGGGAGGCAGCAGUAGGGAAUCUUCGGGAAUAGGAGCAAACCUGAACGAGCAACGCCGCGUUAGUGAAGAAGGGUUUCGGAUCGUAAAGCUCUGUUGUAAGAGAAGAACGAGUGUGAGAGUGGAAAGUUAACACUGUGACGGUAACUAACCAGAAAGGGACGGCUAACUACGUG